This 944-nucleotide ribosomal RNA is filed under the name Listeria monocytogenes. RNAcentral describes it as "bacterial LSU rRNA". It matches the Rfam family "Bacterial large subunit ribosomal RNA", at positions 408 to 1353 of the family's 2925-position model. Lineage: Bacteria; Bacillati; Bacillota; Bacilli; Caryophanales; Listeriaceae. The record is from RNAcentral. RNAcentral also lists the same sequence under 3 other names.
CUGAGUACGGCGGAACACGUGAAAUUCCGUCGGAAUCCGGGAGGACCAUCUCCCAAGGCUAAAUACUCCCUAGUGACCGAUAGUGAACCAGUACCGUGAGGGAAAGGUGAAAAGCACCCCGGAAGGGGAGUGAAACAGUUCCUGAAACCGUGUGCCUACAAGUAGUUAGAGCCCGUUAAUGGGUGAUAGCGUGCCUUUUGUAGAAUGAACCGGCGAGUUACGAUUUGUUGCAAGGUUAAGCGGAAAAAGCGGAGCCGUAGCGAAAGCGAGUCUGAAUAGGGCGCAUAAGUAACAGGUCGUAGACCCGAAACCAGGUGAUCUACCCAUGUCCAGGAUGAAGGUAAGGUAAUACUUACUGGAGGUCCGAACCCACGCACGUUGAAAAGUGCGGGGAUGAGGUGUGGGUAGCGGAGAAAUUCCAAUCGAACUUGGAGAUAGCUGGUUCUCUCCGAAAUAGCUUUAGGGCUAGCCUCGAGGUAAAGAGUCAUGGAGGUAGAGCACUGUUUGGACUAGGGGCCCUUCUCGGGUUACCGAAUUCAGAUAAACUCCGAAUGCCAUGUACUUAUACUCGGGAGUCAGACUGCGAGUGAUAAGAUCCGUAGUCGAAAGGGAAACAGCCCAGACCACCAGUUAAGGUCCCCAAAUAUAUGUUAAGUGGAAAAGGAUGUGGGGUUGCUUAGACAACCAGGAUGUUGGCUUAGAAGCAGCCACCAUUGAAAGAGUGCGUAAUAGCUCACUGGUCGAGUGACCCCGCGCCGAAAAUGUACCGGGGCUAAACAUAUUACCGAAACUGUGGAUGAACCUCUUUAGAGGUUCGUGGUAGGAGAGCGUUCUAAGGGCGGUGAAGUCAGACCGGAAGGACUGGUGGAGCGCUUAGAAGUGAGAAUGCCGGUAUGAGUAGCGAAAGAAGGGUGAGAAUCCCUUCCACCGAAUAUCUAAGGUUU